AGCAGCCGCCGCGGGAAUACGGAGGGUGCAAGCGUUAAUCGGAAUUACUGGGCGUAAAGCGCACGCAGGCGGUCUGACAAGUCAGAUGUGAAAUCCCCGGGCUUAACCUGGGAACUGCAUUUGAAACUGUCAGGCUGGAGUCUUGUAGAGGGGGGUGGAAUUCCAGGUGUAGCGGUGAAAUGCGUAGAGAUCUGGAGGAAUACCGGUGGCGAAGGCGGCCCCCUGGACAAAGACUGACGCUCAGGUGCGAAAGCGUGGGGAGCAAACAGGAUUAGAGACCCCUGUAGUCCCUGUCUCUUAUAC
RNAcentral lists this ribosomal RNA (303 nucleotides) under uncultured bacterium. RNAcentral describes it as "partial 16S ribosomal RNA". It matches the Rfam family "Bacterial small subunit ribosomal RNA", at positions 507 to 807 of the family's 1533-position model. The record is from RNAcentral.